UCCCCAGUAGUAUAUCGGUUAGUACACCCGCCUGUCAUCGUCAGACGUUUGUACUCGCGGGAGAGCGGGGUUCGACUCCCCGCUGAGGAG
This is a non-coding RNA of Schizophyllum amplum, 90 nucleotides long. Lineage: Eukaryota; Fungi; Basidiomycota; Agaricomycetes; Agaricales; Schizophyllaceae. The record is from the annotation of a GenBank genome assembly.